Chelonus insularis is the source of this 637-nucleotide long non-coding RNA. RefSeq lists it as uncharacterized. Lineage: Eukaryota; Metazoa; Arthropoda; Insecta; Hymenoptera; Braconidae. The record is from RefSeq and is a predicted model, not a curated record. The transcript has 3 exons.
GCCGCUUUAGCCGCAUCAUGAUGUCGUCUAUAGUUUGACCUUUGAAGGUUACGUGGAACCCUGCAUUAUCGGUGGCUGGUGUGGUUGGCAUUUUCCCAACGGGAGAAUCCAGGCGAGUCGGAGCUCGAUGACCUUCGUUUCUACAAGGGCAGAGGGGAGCCUCACAAACAGUUCUGUACAUAAUGUGUCUCAGACAUACGUCUGGCUGUCGAUAAUGUAAUGGUGCUCCCCUCACACCAUAAACAACUGUGGCCGCCGACCAAAGCGGAUAAUACUGGUACUACGGGAGACCGAAAUCCAAGCCCGCAUCCAGGGCUGCAAAGUCGAAAAACGACAUGUAGGAACCGGUUGCUUUCGGUCAAUUGAGGUUGAACUCGUAGUGGAUAGGGAAACAAGGAUUUGGAGCUGUUGCAACACCAUCUUCAGAGCAUCCUGGGUGAGCUGACCUUCAUACUUAACAGUAAAGGGCAUUGGGUGAAGCCGCGGGAAAAAUUAUUAUUGUAAAUUAUUUGUAACUCUUCGUCGUCAUUCCGGCCUGUACCCGGGCGUCAUUACUUCAGUCUUUUCUCCAUAACGUGGAGGUUAUAUUGUACAGUUUAGAGCCGCUUAAGGUCACGGAGGAUAAUCCCGCGCAAUC